RNAcentral lists this small RNA (423 nucleotides) under Xanthomonas citri pv. fuscans. Its description in RNAcentral is "cspA". Lineage: Bacteria; Pseudomonadati; Pseudomonadota; Gammaproteobacteria; Lysobacterales; Lysobacteraceae. The record is from RNAcentral.
CAUGGCCGAGGUGUUGGCCAACGUCGAUGCGGCUUCGUCCGGGCUGCCCGAGCUGAUUGGCGAACUUGCACGCGGGUGAUUGUCAUCGGGGCAUAAGCUUUGCAUACUCGGCGCGUACGCACCGCCGUACACCACCCAUUAAUUAUUGCAAAGGUCUCGCAUCACCAUGCCGAACGGUACCGUCAAGUGGUUCAACGACGCCAAGGGAUUUGGCUUCAUCUCACCGGAGGACGGCAGCGCCGAUGUCUUCGCGCACUUCUCCGCGAUCAAUUCCAAGGGCUUCCGCAGCCUGCAGGAAGGCCAGCGCGUCAGUUAUGACGUGACCCAGGGCCCCAAGGGUGCCCAGGCUUCGAACAUCACGCCGGUCGAGUAAUCUGACUCGAUUGUGCGGUUGAAGAACCCCGCCACGGCGGGGUUUUUUUU